GUUGGGACUGUUAUAGAAAUGUUCAGACUCAGAAUUCCAAAGCAUUUACACAGAGAGAAUUAACGUAUGAAAUUUUCAUGUUGAUUAUUGUUUAGGAUGCCAAGAGAAGGGACUCAAGAUUUUAGCAUGCAGAGAAGAAACUGAGUCUAUGAUGCUGUCAAGAAUAUUUGUUUUGGGCAGAAGCAAGGGCAAACAAGAAAUGGGGUCAAUUGGGUUGUUGGACAUGAGUAAGAUGGUCAAUUCACACAGCAAAUUGUUGAAGAGAAGAAGACAAAAAGGGACAAGGAGGGGCAUGAACGACGCCGCUUUAUACAAAGGAUACGGGAAGAACAAAAAGACGAAGAGAGGCCAUAGAAAGAAGGUAAGGAAGGCAAAAUGCAAGGGCAAAUAAGUAAAAACCCAUUUCUAAAAUUGAAUUGAAAGUUACUAUAGCUUAUACUAUGUGAGGCUCCUCCCUUUAUUGUAGAUAUAUUAAUUAGAUAUAUACUAUAACGCAAUAGAGAAUAGAGAUGAAGAUACAUUAUUUCA
Molecule: long non-coding RNA, 528 nt
Organism: Manihot esculenta (cassava)
Lineage: Eukaryota; Viridiplantae; Streptophyta; Magnoliopsida; Malpighiales; Euphorbiaceae
Exons: 2
Source: RefSeq, a predicted model, not a curated record